AGCAGGUCUCCAAGGUGAA
RNAcentral lists this non-coding RNA (19 nucleotides) under Xenopus tropicalis (tropical clawed frog). RNAcentral also lists the same sequence under 1 other name. The record is from RNAcentral. Lineage: Eukaryota; Metazoa; Chordata; Amphibia; Anura; Pipidae.